RNAcentral lists this ribosomal RNA (768 nucleotides) under Microbacterium sp. Its description in RNAcentral is "bacterial SSU rRNA". It matches the Rfam family "Bacterial small subunit ribosomal RNA", at positions 43 to 824 of the family's 1533-position model. Lineage: Bacteria; Bacillati; Actinomycetota; Actinomycetes; Micrococcales; Microbacteriaceae. The record is from RNAcentral.
CGUGCUUAACACAUGCAAGUCGAACGGUGAAGGAGAGCUUGCUCUUUGGAUCAGUGGCGAACGGGUGAGUAACACGUGAGCAACCUGCCCCUGACUCUGGGAUAAGCGCUGGAAACGGCGUCUAAUACUGGAUAUGUGACGUGACCGCAUGGUCUGCGUCUGGAAAGAAUUUCGGUUGGGGAUGGGCUCGCGGCCUAUCAGCUUGUUGGUGAGGUAAUGGCUCACCAAGGCGUCGACGGGUAGCCGGCCUGAGAGGGUGACCGGCCACACUGGGACUGAGACACGGCCCAGACUCCUACGGGAGGCAGCAGUGGGGAAUAUUGCACAAUGGGCGCAAGCCUGAUGCAGCAACGCCGCGUGAGGGAUGACGGCCUUCGGGUUGUAAACCUCUUUUAGCAGGGAAGAAGCGAAAGUGACGGUACCUGCAGAAAAAGCGCCGGCUAACUACGUGCCAGCAGCCGCGGUAAUACGUAGGGCGCAAGCGUUAUCCGGAAUUAUUGGGCGUAAAGAGCUCGUAGGCGGUUUGUCGCGUCUGCUGUGAAAUCCGGAGGCUCAACCUCCGGCCUGCAGUGGGUACGGGCAGACUAGAGUGCGGUAGGGGAGAUUGGAAUUCCUGGUGUAGCGGUGGAAUGCGCAGAUAUCAGGAGGAACACCGAUGGCGAAGGCAGAUCUCUGGGCCGUAACUGACGCUGAGGAGCGAAAGGGUGGGGAGCAAACAGGCUUAGAUACCCUGGUAGUCCACCCCGUAAACGUUGGGAACUAGUUGUG